GUUUAAGCAGCCGCGGUAAUACGUAGGGUGCGAGCGUUAAUCGGAAUUACUGGGCGUAAAGCGUGCGCAGGCGGUUCUGAAAGUCAGCUGUGAAAGCCCCGGGCUUAACCUGGGAAUUGCGGUUGAAACUACAGGGCUAGAAUCUGGCAGAGGGGGGUGGAAUUCCACGUGUAGCAGUGAAAUGCGUAGAGAUGUGGAGGAACACCGAUGGCGAAGGCAGCCCCCUGGGCUGAGAUUGACGCUCAGGCACGAAAGCGUGGGGAGCAAACAGGAUUAGAUACCCGGGUAGUCC
This 292-nucleotide ribosomal RNA is filed under the name uncultured bacterium. RNAcentral's name for it is "partial 16S ribosomal RNA". It matches the Rfam family "Bacterial small subunit ribosomal RNA", at positions 505 to 796 of the family's 1533-position model. The record is from RNAcentral.